Molecule: long non-coding RNA, 403 nt
Organism: Lingula anatina
Lineage: Eukaryota; Metazoa; Brachiopoda; Lingulata; Lingulida; Lingulidae
Source: RefSeq, a predicted model, not a curated record
UUAAUCCAACCUCAUCAACAACUCUUAAAACUACGACCACGCCUUCCACCACAUCUAGUACGACAAAUUCGAUGAAAAUUACUACCUCGACGCCAACUUCUUUUUCAGGUGAUGGAGCUACGUGUAAUUUUGAUGGAUCCUUUUGUGGGUACUCGUUGUCUUCAGAUGAAGACAGAUUUAAAUGGCAACAGAUUGGAAGACAUAAAGGAUUACCAACUGAAGAUCACACAAUUGGCUCAAAAGGUUUUAACGGACAGUUCCUUACAGUCAAGUGGAGAAGUGGUACUGCUGGAAACCAGAAAGCAAUUAUAACAUCACCACGUAUUCCUCAGACAAAUGUUCCAUGCAGCAUAGGACUUUAUUAUUACAUGAACAGUGACAAAAUAUUAUUAACUGCUCAUGU